This is a long non-coding RNA of Thalassophryne amazonica, 118 nucleotides long. RefSeq lists it as uncharacterized. The transcript is spliced from 3 exons. The record is from RefSeq and is a predicted model, not a curated record. NCBI's taxonomy places the organism in Eukaryota, Metazoa, Chordata, Actinopteri, Batrachoidiformes, Batrachoididae.
UAACCUUGACCUAAUUUAUGUGGUCAAAAGGUCACAUUCUUUCUGCACACUCUUUCAUUGAUUACAUGCUCAUAUGGUCGAGGGUACUUUAGCACUGCGCUGGAUUUUUAUAUUGAGA